UACGUAGGGUGCAAGCGUUGUCCGGAAUUAUUGGGCGUAAAGAGCUCGUAGGCGGUCUGUCACGUCGGGAGUGAAAACCUGGGGCUUAACCCCGGGCCUGCUUUCGAUACGGGCAGACUAGAGUUCGGCAGGGGAGACUGGAAUUCCUGGUGUAGCGGUGAAAUGCGCAGAUAUCAGGAGGAACACCGGUGGCGAAGGCGGGUCUCUGGGCCGAUACUGACGCUGAGGAGCGAAAGCGUGGGGAGCGAACAGG
This 253-nucleotide ribosomal RNA is filed under the name uncultured bacterium. RNAcentral's name for it is "partial 16S ribosomal RNA". It matches the Rfam family "Bacterial small subunit ribosomal RNA", at positions 524 to 776 of the family's 1533-position model. The record is from RNAcentral.